CCGAACCCGAAAAUUUGAACUCGAAAUUAUUAUUUCUUUUUUCAAUAUUUCAAAAUAUAUUAUAUUAAAUCUAAAUUUUUAAAAUACAAAUUUAAAUAUAAUAUCAUAUAUAUAUAUAUAUUAUAAUACAAAAUAAAUUCGGGUUCGGGUCGGGUUAGGGUCGGGUUUGGCUUCAGGUCGGGUAUAGUCAAAAUUCAUAUCCGAAUCCAUAUCCGUCGGGUUACUAUUUUUGAUAUCCAUAUACGAAUCCAUAUCCAUUUAGCAUCGGAUAUAUCCGUUUCAUUCGGGUUCGGGUUCGGAUAAAAUUUCGGGUAUCUAUACCCAUUGACAUCUCUACCCUCC
This 342-nucleotide long non-coding RNA is filed under the name Ananas comosus (pineapple). RNAcentral's name for it is "long non-coding RNA (ACOM_LNC008520)". The record is from RNAcentral. Lineage: Eukaryota; Viridiplantae; Streptophyta; Magnoliopsida; Poales; Bromeliaceae.